GGGGUUAUAGCUCAGUGGUAGAGCGUGUACUUGGCAUGCAUGAGGUCCUGAGUUCAAUCCUCAGUGCCUCUG
This 72-nucleotide transfer RNA is filed under the name Camelus bactrianus (Bactrian camel). It matches the Rfam family "tRNA". Rfam says of the family: Transfer RNA (tRNA) molecules are approximately 80 nucleotides in length. Their secondary structure includes four short double-helical elements and three loops (D, anti-codon, and T loops). Further hydrogen bonds mediate the characteristic L-shaped molecular structure. tRNAs have two regions of fundamental functional importance: the anti-codon, which is responsible for specific mRNA codon recognition, and the 3' end, to which the tRNAs corresponding amino acid is attached (by aminoacyl-tRNA synthetases). tRNAs cope with the degeneracy of the genetic code in two manners: having more than one tRNA (with a specific anti-codon) for a particular amino acid; and 'wobble' base-pairing, i.e. permitting non-standard base-pairing at the 3rd anti-codon position. The record is from Rfam by way of RNAcentral. RNAcentral also lists the same sequence under 2 other names. Lineage: Eukaryota; Metazoa; Chordata; Mammalia; Artiodactyla; Camelidae.